RNAcentral lists this ribosomal RNA (271 nucleotides) under uncultured bacterium. RNAcentral describes it as "partial 16S ribosomal RNA". It matches the Rfam family "Bacterial small subunit ribosomal RNA", at positions 84 to 353 of the family's 1533-position model. The record is from RNAcentral.
UUUGAUGGCGACCGGCGCACGGGUGAGUAACACGUAUCCAACCUGCCGAUGACUCGGGGAUAGCCUUUCGAAAGAAAGAUUAAUACCCGAUGGCAUAGUUCUUCCGCAUGGUGGAACUAUUAAAGAAUUUCGGUCAUCGAUGGGGAUGCGUUCCAUUAGGUUGUUGGCGGGGUAACGGCCCACCAAGCCUUCGAUAGAUAGGGGUUCUGAGAGGAAGGUCCCCCCACAUUGGAACUGAGACACGGUCCAAACUCCUACGGGAGGCAGCAUG